UCCUACGGGGGGCAGCAGUGAGGAAUAUUGGUCAAUGGUCGGGAGACUGAACCAGCCAAGCCGCGUGAGGGAGGAAGGUACAGAGUAUCGUAAACCUCUUUUGUCAGGGAACAAAGGCGGGGACGCGUCCCCGGAUGAGUGUACCUGAAGAAAAAGCAUCGGCUAACUCCGUGCCAGCAGCCGCGGUAAUACGGAGGAUGCGAGCGUUAUCCGGAUUUAUUGGGUUUAAAGGGUGCGCAGGCGGUCUGUUAAGUCAGCGGCCAAAGCCCGGGGCUCAACCCCGGCCCGCCGUUGAAACUGGCAGU
Molecule: ribosomal RNA, 305 nt
Filed under: uncultured bacterium
Lineage: Bacteria
Description: bacterial SSU rRNA
Rfam family: Bacterial small subunit ribosomal RNA
Source: RNAcentral